Molecule: transfer RNA, 75 nt
Filed under: Methylobacterium durans
Lineage: Bacteria; Pseudomonadati; Pseudomonadota; Alphaproteobacteria; Hyphomicrobiales; Methylobacteriaceae
Description: tRNA-Glu
Source: RNAcentral
GCUGGCGUCCCAAAAUCUGGCUGUUUUCGCCCUCUCACGGCGAAAACAGGGGUUCGAGUCCCCUUGGGAGCGCCA